RNAcentral lists this ribosomal RNA (610 nucleotides) under uncultured bacterium. Its description in RNAcentral is "bacterial SSU rRNA". It matches the Rfam family "Bacterial small subunit ribosomal RNA", at positions 338 to 944 of the family's 1533-position model. The record is from RNAcentral.
CCUACGGGAGGCAGCAGUGGGGAAUUUUGGACAAUGGACGCAAGUCUGAUCCAGCCAUGCCGCGUGCGGGAAGAAGGCCUUCGGGUUGUAAACCGCUUUUGUCAGGGAAGAAACGGGUUUCUCUAAUACAGAGACCUAAUGACGGUACCUGAAGAAUAAGCACCGGCUAACUACGUGCCAGCAGCCGCGGUAAUACGUAGGGUGCAAGCGUUAAUCGGAAUUACUGGGCGUAAAGCGUGCGCAGGCGGUUAUGCAAGACAGAGGUGAAAUCCCCGGGCUCAACCUGGGAACUGCCUUUGUGACUGCAUAGCUAGAGUACGGUAGAGGGGGAUGGAAUUCCGCGUGUAGCAGUGAAAUGCGUAGAUAUGCGGAGGAACACCGAUGGCGAAGGCAAUCCCCUGGACCUGUACUGACGCUCAUGCACGAAAGCGUGGGGAGCAAACAGGAUUAGAUACCCUGGUAGUCCACGCCCUAAACGAUGUCAACUGGUUNUUGGGAGGGUUUCUUCUCAGUACGAAGCUAACGCGUGAAGUUGACCGCCUGGGGAAGUCGGCCGCAAGUUGAACUCAAGGAUUGACCGGNGNGNGAGNGCGAGAGACACGAGGAGAGG